UACGGAGGGUGCAAGCGUUAUCCGGAUUCACUGGGUUUAAAGGGUGCGUAGGUGGGCAGGUAAGUCAGUGGUGAAAUCCCCGAGCUUAACUUGGGAACUGCCGUUGAUACUAUCUGUCUUGAAUGUUGUGGAGGUGAGCGGAAUAUGUCAUGUAGCGGUGAAAUGCUUAGAUAUGACAUAGAACACCAAUUGCGAAGGCAGCUCGCUACACAAUUAUUGACUCUGAGGCACGAAAGCGUGGGGAUCAAACAGG
RNAcentral lists this ribosomal RNA (253 nucleotides) under uncultured bacterium. RNAcentral's name for it is "partial 16S ribosomal RNA". It matches the Rfam family "Bacterial small subunit ribosomal RNA", at positions 524 to 776 of the family's 1533-position model. The record is from RNAcentral.